This 459-nucleotide ribosomal RNA is filed under the name uncultured bacterium. RNAcentral's name for it is "partial 16S ribosomal RNA". It matches the Rfam family "Bacterial small subunit ribosomal RNA", at positions 338 to 795 of the family's 1533-position model. The record is from RNAcentral.
CCUACGGGGGGCAGCAGUGAGGAAUAUUGGUCAAUGGGCGCAAGCCUGACCCAGCAACGCCGCGUGAAGGAAGAAGGCUUUCGGGUUGUAAACCUCUUUUGUCGGGGAGCAAAGCGAGUCACGUGGGACUCAUUGAGAGUACCCGAAGAAAAAGCAUCGGCUAACUCCGUGCCAGCAGCCGCGGUAAUACGGAGGAUGCGGGCGUUAUCCGGAUUUAUUGGGGUUAAAGGGUGCGCAGGCGGAGGUGCAAGUCAGCGGUCAAAUUGCGGGGCUCAACCCCGUACUGCCGUUGAAAAUGCAUCCCUUGAGUGCGCGAGAAGUAUGCGGAAUGCGUGGUGUAGCGGUGAAAUGCAUAGAUAUCACGCAGAACUCCGAUUGCGAAGGCAGCAUACCGGCGCGCAACUGACGCUCAUGCACGAAAGCGUGGGUAUCGAACAGGAUUAGAUACCCCGGGUAGUC